UACGUAGGGAGCAAGCGUUGUCCGGAAUCAUUGGGCGUAAAGCGCGCGUAGGCGGCCCGAUAAGUCCGCUGUGAAAGUCAACGGCUCAACUGUUGGAUGCCGGUGGAUACUGUCGGGCUAGAGUACGGAAGAGGCAAGUGGAAUUCCUGGUGUAGCGGUGGAAUGCGCAGAUAUCAGGAGGAACACCUAUAGCGAAGGCAGCUUGCUGGGACGUUACUGACGCUAAGGCGCGAAAGCGUGGGGAGCAAACGGG
This 253-nucleotide ribosomal RNA is filed under the name uncultured bacterium. Its description in RNAcentral is "partial 16S ribosomal RNA". It matches the Rfam family "Bacterial small subunit ribosomal RNA", at positions 524 to 776 of the family's 1533-position model. The record is from RNAcentral.